RNAcentral lists this ribosomal RNA (445 nucleotides) under uncultured bacterium. Its description in RNAcentral is "partial 16S ribosomal RNA". It matches the Rfam family "Bacterial small subunit ribosomal RNA", at positions 354 to 796 of the family's 1533-position model. The record is from RNAcentral.
GUGAGGAAUAUUGGUCAAUGGGCGGGAGCCUGAACCAGCCAAGUCGCGUGAAGGAAGAAGGAUCUAUGGUUCGUAAACUUCUUUUGCAGGGGAAUAAAGUGCAGGACGUGUCCUGUUUUGUAUGUACCCUGAGAAUAAGGAUCGGCUAACUCCGUGCCAGCAGCCGCGGUAAUACGGAGGAUCCGAGCGUUAUCCGGAUUUAUUGGGUUUAAAGGGUGCGUAGGUGGUUUGAUAAGUCAGCGGUGAAAGUUUGCAGCUUAACUGUAAAAAUGCCGUUGAAACUGUCGGACUUGAGUGUAAAUGAGGUAGGCGGAAUGCGUGGUGUAGCGGUGAAAUGCAUUGAUAUCACGCAGAACUCCGAUUGCGAAGGCAGCUUACUAAGCUACAACUGACACUGAAGCACGAAAGCGUGGGGAUCAAACAGGAUUAGAUACCCGAGUAGUCC